This 1568-nucleotide unclassified non-coding RNA is filed under the name Hevea brasiliensis (rubber tree). The record is from RNAcentral. Lineage: Eukaryota; Viridiplantae; Streptophyta; Magnoliopsida; Malpighiales; Euphorbiaceae.
AAAUGAUGAUGGAGGUAAUUCUUCUCAGAAGUUGGCCAAACAAGACCAAGAUGAUAUUUAUGACAGCAGAAAUGGAAAUGCACCAGUUAAAACAUCCUCUGAGGUACAUGUAUUAUCAAAUACCAGUACUCAAGGAGAUCCACAUGUAAAAGGUGAUGAUAUUAAAGUUGGCUCUGUUGGUGAUACAGAGGGAACAUCUAUUUCUGAAUCAUUGGGCACCUCGUUUUCUGGCUUCUCUACUUCACCUGCUGGUGGUGAAUCAUCUGAUGAUGUUUCUGUUAGUGAGAGUAUCAGUUCAAAUGAUGUUUCUGUUUCUGAGAGUAUCAGUUCAAAUGAACCCGAGGGAUCAGAUGGACAAAUAUCUUUUCAUACUGCCACUGAUGUGCUUGUGCCUGGUUUGAACAAGGUAGAUCAAACCAAGCCUCUGUCUCCAAAGUUUGCGAGGUUGAUUGAUUCUGUAGAUAGUAAUAAAUUCAGUAAAUUAAGUAAGAGUAAAUCUGGCAGCAAUGGUGGAGAGAAUUGGUAUGCAUCUACUCAUACUUCAGGUCAGAGCAUUAUUGCCAGGAACAAGGUUUCAAUAACUCAGCCUGGAAACGUUUCUUCUGGUUUCUGGGAUAGAACUCUCAGCUCUGUCAUGUCCAGCAAUGCUGUCCAGGCUGAUCCAGAUUUGUUGAGUUCCAGCAAAGCAGCUGACAGCAAGUUAUCUGAUUCUGAGUCAUUCCUACAUUUUAAGUUUCAUUUAUCUGGAUGUAAUGUUCCUUCAUCAAAUUCACAAUGCUCAGAAGUGAAAGGCAUCAGAUCAGAUGAUGCACAUCAGGCUGUUUUGGGGAAUGGUAGCCCUGUUGAUGGAGCAGCAUCAUCAGAAAACACCCAUGAUGAUCCUCUGAAAGUCAGGAGGUCCACAUCUGUGAGCUGCGAAAAGUCUAGUCAUCAUAUGGAUAAUGAAUCUAGUGAUUAUUUAAAUGUGCCAAAGACAACUGAGAUGAAAUCUUUGCCAUCAUCCUCUUCAUAUGCUCAUCUGCCUUCGAAUAGUGAAGCUGCUUUACGUGCAGUUGAUUCUAAUCUUUCAAAGUCCAAUGAUCUUAAAUCCCCAUCCUUACACUCUCACAGAUCGGAUGUUAGUGUCAAUAACACUGUCAGUACUUCAUAUCUAUCUAAGUCCAGAGUAUCAUUUAGUGCUUCUCAAACCCAUUUGGCAUCUAGGGACAAUGGGCAUUCAGUUCUAAAUGUGAAAUCUGGAAAACUUGAUAAUGUUGAAGCUGAAGCACUGACCACCUCUCCAACUAUUAGUGGGCUGAAAUCAUCAAUGCGGAAAGUUGUUGACCAACUCAGAGGACCUAAAUCUGGAAAAUACAGUGAUAAGGGGCUCUUUUCAUAUGAUUAUUUUGUGAAGCUAUAUGCUUCGAACAAGGUAGAAUUGCGACCUUGUGGCCUCAUCAAUUGCGGAAACAGUUGUUAUGCGAAUGCUGUACUUCAAUGCUUAUCAUUUACUCCUCCUCUGACUGCAUAUUUUGUUCAAGGACUCCAUUCUAAACAAUGUGUAAAUAAAGAAUGGUGCUUCACUUGUG